CCUANGGGUGGCAGCAGUGGGGAAUCUUGGACAAUGGGCGCAAGCCUGAUCCAGCCAUGCCGCGUGGAUGAUGAAGGCCUUAGGGUUGUAAAAUCCUUUCGUGGGGGACGAUAAUGACGGUACCCCAAGAAGAAGCUCCGGCUAACUUCGUGCCAGCAGCCGCGGUAAUACGAAGGGGGCUAGCGUUGUUCGGAUUUACUGGGCGUAAAGCGCGUGUAGGCGGGUCGUUAAGUUGGGGGUGAAAUCCCGAGGCUCAACCUCGGAACUGCCUUCAAAACUGGCGACCUGGACCUAAGUAGAGGCAAGUGGAAUUGCGAGUGUAGAGGUGAAAUUCGUAGAUAUUCGCAGGAACACCAGUGGCGAAGGCGACUUGCUGGACUUAUGGUGACGCUGAGACGCGAAAGCGUGGGGAGCAAACAGGAUUAGAUACCCGGNUANUC
RNAcentral lists this ribosomal RNA (440 nucleotides) under uncultured bacterium. Its description in RNAcentral is "bacterial SSU rRNA". It matches the Rfam family "Bacterial small subunit ribosomal RNA", at positions 338 to 795 of the family's 1533-position model. The record is from RNAcentral.